AUGACUAUAGAAAACUUGGAAAACAGAAACCCAUGAAGGUGGAAGGAAAAAAGCCGCCAUGAUCCGAGAUAACUGCUGUUAACAUACUGCUGCCGCCGCUGCUGAGUCACUUCAGUCGUGUCCGACUCUGUGUGACCCCAUAGACGGCAGCCCAACAGGCUCCCCCAUCCCUGAGAUUCUCCAGGCAAGAGUACUGGAGUGGGUUGCCAUUUCCUUCUCCAAUGCAAGAAAGGGAAAGUGAAGUCGCUCAGUUGUUUCUGACUCUCAGCGACCCCAUGGACUGCAACCCACCAGGCUCCCCCAUUCCUGGGAUUUUCCAGGAGGACUCUGGCCUUGGUUUGUGCGGAGGACACCAUCCAAGUGACCACCACCAUGGGCUGCCUCCAGGAGUGAUGCUCUGGGUGUCACACUGUUUUGCUCGCCAGGAACCCCAUGGUGAGAUAAGAACCACUCUUCUAGAACACAGAUUUUUCUGAUUUUGUUCUUUUUCCUGGCUGAGCUUGGAACCAGUUGUGUGAUCUUGGUUAAGUCAUUUAAUUUGUCUGGGCUUCAAUUUACUGGCCUGUGAAAUGGAGACGAUGAACCAGAGUCAGUGUUUUCUAAUAAUUUCUUUUUGGGGAAAAAAGCAAAAAGCAA
Molecule: long non-coding RNA, 636 nt
Organism: Dama dama (fallow deer)
Lineage: Eukaryota; Metazoa; Chordata; Mammalia; Artiodactyla; Cervidae
Exons: 3
Source: RefSeq, a predicted model, not a curated record